CCUGACCGGCGCUGGUGAACAAGAUAAGCAGAGCAGAGCGUAUAGCUGGUCAUCCUGCAACGAAACGCAAGUUUACGGAGCUGGUGGUUCGUCCCGGAUUGUAUGCGGCUUCUCGGGCGUAUUUUCGCUCUGUUCAACCUGACGCUAGCAGAAGUUUUCAGACAGCCGUGAUGGCCAUGGCCGAAAUAUCUGGACCGGCCAACGUAAGAUACUCGUAGAUACAAAUCACGAGAAUGCAUGGCCAUUGAGUUGACAGUUGGUUAUUCGUUUUAUUUUUUUGAUUGAUAUAUAUAUAUAUAUGGUAAUGUACAUUUUCGAAUACAAGUAAAACUAAAUGUAGGCGAAAUAUUAUAUUGACAAAAGCAGUGAGAAUUUUGAGCGGGGAUCACCUUGAUCUUAAGCUCGUAGAAUCGUAGGUCGUAGCAUUGCUUACAUGGCUAAGAACAAAUAAUCAAGCAAACCAGAGUACCAAACCUAACAAACUAAAAGAUAUGAAUUAACGGUGCAAUUUUUCUCCCCUCCCGUGUGGCUCACUUCGGGCGAUAAGCUGCCCCGGCAGCCACGGCGGCCGGCGGCCGGCCGCGCUCAUCCUCGGCGGUACGGCGGCCGGCACCGGUCGCCGGGACAGACGCCUCCUCCGCCGCCCCGGCCAGCUCCCUGUAGUCGAUCAGAUGCCUCCUGCUGCUGCCGCCGCCGCCGUGGGAGCUCCCGUCCGGCGACACGCAGCGGUAGCCGCUGUGCUCCUGGCUCCUCCUGAUCGCGUCGAUCACGAACGGUAUCAGCCCCUCCAUUUGUUUUUUUCCCCUCGCCCAAAACCCUCCGAUCCUCUCUGCUCGUCUUCUCGCUGCUGCUUUUCGCGAGCCGUACGUGACACGUUUGCGGUGGUUGGUGUAACACGGUGUGUUACGUGAAUGGUGGCGUCGCGUGGGUAUUUGUAGGGGCCGCGUCGCGGCGGCGGCGGCGCGCGGGGGAAGACGAGACGCGUCGCGCCUGGAGAAGGUGGUUUCCGGUGGGCGCGCGGUCGUUGAUCGGAUGGAAGUGGGAGUAUGGAAGUUUUCUCGUUCGUCGUGUUGCCGUUGUGCUCAUCUGGAUUCAAAUACGAGUAGUCGCUUUCUUCUGUUGCUAAAGGAUAAAUAUUAUCUGAUUUUUUAUACUUCUCACGUUCGUUAUAUAAGACUUUCUAAUCUUAUAUAGAUUUAU
Molecule: long non-coding RNA, 1200 nt
Filed under: Oryza brachyantha (malo sina)
Lineage: Eukaryota; Viridiplantae; Streptophyta; Magnoliopsida; Poales; Poaceae
Description: long non-coding RNA (OBRA_LNC002100)
Source: RNAcentral